UUUGGGAUUGAGGCUUAGUUGAGUUGAGUUGAAUCAAUUAGAUAGUUCUAUUUUCGCCAUCCUAUUGAAUGCUGUUUUCCAGACUAUGGUAAUGGAGCUACAAUACUUUUUCAAAUUUGCUGCACAUUCUCUCUCAUUGAAAGCACUGAAGAAACUGCUGUGCCUCCUGGACAUGAAAAUGGCCAUCAAUUGAAUUAAUUUGUGUAUUUAGAUAAACUGAUAUUCCAUUAUCCCAAUUUCUUGUCUCUCUGUUCUUGUUUUUGAUGGACCA
RNAcentral lists this long non-coding RNA (271 nucleotides) under Elaeis guineensis (African oil palm). Its description in RNAcentral is "long non-coding RNA (EGUI_LNC015567)". The record is from RNAcentral. Lineage: Eukaryota; Viridiplantae; Streptophyta; Magnoliopsida; Arecales; Arecaceae.